This is a non-coding RNA of Salvia hispanica, 344 nucleotides long. The record is from RefSeq and is a predicted model, not a curated record. NCBI's taxonomy places the organism in Eukaryota, Viridiplantae, Streptophyta, Magnoliopsida, Lamiales, Lamiaceae.
GGUGUGGGUGAAAAAAGAAGACAAGCUGAAUGCAUGAUGCUACUGAACUUGGAUUCUUCGCUGUUAGGAGCUUCAGUACAUCAUGAGGAGUGAGUGAAAUACAUACCAAUCAGAAGAAUGACGAUUUCUAUCUGUGCGACUGUCAUAGUUCCAAGCGGGAUGGCUACUUUUUGAGGCUGAAUCUUCCUUCUAUUGUUUCUUAGCACAGUUCGGGGUCCAGUAUAUUCUUGUAGUCAUUUAUGCAGUAAAUAUACAUCCCCUCUUGAUGUAUUUGGUACAUACAAUGGUACAGUAUUAAAUAUUCUGAAUUCUGAUUGUUAAGCUCAAAAUUGUCCCUUGAUUUA